UGCCCCCACACCCCCUACCUCUUUGGUUUUUCUCCCCAGGCUGGGCUCUCCCUCAGCUUGCCCUCCCUAUCUCUAGGCUCUGCCUAACUCGGGAGGCUGAGUGUUUUGGUCUGCUAUGGGCAAACAUCAGCCAGACAGAGGCUUAGGAGAGGAAAUCCCUGAGGGAGUUCAGUUGGUCUGCAGCUCUGAGUGACAGACUGGGUGGGUUGCCUGUGUGCAGCGGAGGGCAGAGGCAGGAGGCUUCUGGUGCCUUGGUGAUGAACUCAGCCUCCAGGCCGGGGAUCCCGCUGCAAGACUCAGCUCCUGUGCAUUCCCAAAAGGGAUCAUCAAGACCCAGUGUACUGAGUCUUCGUUUUGUAAAAAGAAGCCUCAUUCUCUUCUUGUCUUCCACCUCUGCCUCCUUCCUUCCCUUCAAGGACAGCUGCACGUCAUUCAUUAACCACUUCAAAUCUCCCCAUGGCCUCUCUAUAUGUGGAUUCGAUAAGCUUCAAACUGGGGCAAGUAGAUGACCGAAGAACUGAAGAAACCUCCUGCCACUGACGGCAUAAGGAACCCACAUCUGCAAGAAGGCAUGAGAGAGCGAUUGUACUACUUACUUUUCUUGUGGCUGUGAGCAAACACUUGACAAGAAGGAAGGAGGGAAGGGCUUAUCCUGGCCUGUGAUUUGAAGGUGCAGUUCAUCAUGUCUGUGGAUCAAGAUAAGAGUAUUCUUAGCUACUGCUCUAGCGCCAUGCAUGCUGCCAUGCCCUCUGCCAUGAUGAUAAUGGACUAAACCUCUGAAACAGUAAGCCAGCCCCCAAUUAAAUGCUUUCUUUUAUAAGAGUUUCCUUAGACAUGGUAUCUCUGCACAGCAAUAGAGCAGAGAUUAAGACACACCAAAGCAUUAAUGCUCAGUUCAGUCACCUGUUUC
Molecule: long non-coding RNA, 910 nt
Organism: Peromyscus californicus insignis
Lineage: Eukaryota; Metazoa; Chordata; Mammalia; Rodentia; Cricetidae
Exons: 5
Source: RefSeq, a predicted model, not a curated record